RNAcentral lists this ribosomal RNA (399 nucleotides) under uncultured bacterium. RNAcentral describes it as "bacterial SSU rRNA". It matches the Rfam family "Bacterial small subunit ribosomal RNA", at positions 356 to 772 of the family's 1533-position model. The record is from RNAcentral.
GGGGAAUAUUUGACAAUGGGCGAAAGCCUGAUCCAGCAAUGCCGCGUGAGUGAUGAAGGCCUUAGGGUUGUAAAGCUCUUUCAGUGGGGACGAUAAUGACGGUACCCACAGAAGAAGCCCCGGCUAACUUCGUGCCAGCAGCCGCGGUAAUACGAAGGGGGCUAGCGUUGUUCGGAUUUACUGGGCGUAAAGCGCACGUAGGCGGAUUGUUAAGUGAGGGGUGAAAUCCCAGGGCUCAACCCUGGAACUGCCUUUCAUACUGGCAAUCGUGAGUCCGGAAGAGGUGAGUGGAACUCCUAGUGUAGAGGUGGAAUUCGUAGAUAUUAGGAAGAACACCAGUGGCGAAGGCGGCUCACUGGUCCGGUACUGACGCUGAGGUGCGAAAGCGUGGGGAGCAAA